This 469-nucleotide long non-coding RNA is filed under the name Mus musculus (house mouse). RNAcentral's name for it is "predicted gene, 19299". The record is from RNAcentral. Lineage: Eukaryota; Metazoa; Chordata; Mammalia; Rodentia; Muridae.
GAAGCAAGUCAGUAAGCAGUGUCUUCCCCCAUGAUCUCUGCAUCAGCCCUUGCCUCCUGGUUCCAGCUCUGUUGGAGUUCCUGUCCUGACUUCCUUCGGUGGUGAACAUCAACAUGGAAGUAAGCAAAUGUCUGGGACAGCCCUACUGAACAGUGCCCUCUAGUGAGCCUUUGGGUCCCCACCUGGCAUCUGUGGAGGGAAUGACUGGAUGACCACAGAGAGAAGAUAGAGCCCAUGCUCCUCCUCAGAGGACUGCCAAGCUCCUACUGUGUGCAGCUCCAAACAUCCUCCACUGCUGCUAAAAGCUCGACCUUGGCCAAUUGCUUCCCUGGCUGCCUUUGAUGGGCAGCUCCAGCCAUCUCCUGGGCAGCUUGAGUUCCUGUCCCUCUCUGAAACUCUGGGUCCUUCUAGCAAGUGGAAGUGGGACUGACUUCUCCAGAGCCUAAGGUCUUGGAGGAAAGUAAUGUUU